GAUGAACGCUGGCGGCGUGCUUAACACAUGCAAGUCGAACGGAAAGGCUCCUGCUUGCCGGGGUACUCGAGUGGCGAACGGGUGAGUAACACGUGGAUGAUCUGCCCUGCACUUCGGGAUAAGCCUGGGAAACUGGGUCUAAUACCGGAUAGGACCACAUUUUGGAUGGUGUGGUGGAAAGUUUUUCGGUGUGGGAUGAGCUCGCGGCCUAUCAGCUUGUUGGUGGGGUAAUGGCCUACCAAGGCGUCGACGGGUAGCCGGCCUGAGAGGGUGUACGGCCACAUUGGGACUGAGAUACGGCCCAGACUCCUACGGGAGGCAGCAGUGGGGAAUAUUGCACAAUGGGCGCAAGCCUGAUGCAGCGACGCCGCGUGGUGGAUGACGGCCUUCGGGUUGUAAACUCCUUUCGCUAGGGACGAAGCGCAAGUGACGGUACCUGGAGAAGAAGCACCGGCUAACUACGUG
Molecule: ribosomal RNA, 465 nt
Filed under: uncultured bacterium
Lineage: Bacteria
Description: partial 16S ribosomal RNA
Rfam family: Bacterial small subunit ribosomal RNA
Source: RNAcentral